CCUGGGGGGCAGAGGGGACAGUCAGCAGCACAACAGCCCACCCUACUCAUAGAGGGCAUGGGCAGGAAAGGCUGGCUCCCCUGCCUGCAGCCUGGCAAAAUUUUGGGAUGAAAAUGUUGCACACCAGAUAUCUGCCUUGGGAUGAGCUUUUUUUGGUGCAGUCCAAGCCAUAACGGCAUGAAUGUUUCCUGGAAAGAGAUUCAGGGAGGAAUGCAUUGCCCAUGCUGAGAGACACAGGUACCCUCUAGAGGAGUUCAGGUCUUGGCUGGAUUGCAGGGCCUGGGGAGCAGUGUGAGCACCCUUGCACAUACCCAUGGACCAACACACAGCCAUGCUGUGGACCUGCACAUCAGCUCCAGCUGAUGCACACAGCGUGGUGAUGUCUCUGGGGCAGGCUCUUCCCCCACUCUACACAGAGCUGGAGCACAUGAGAACUCUUCCCUGCUCUUUGUCUCUGUUCAUGGCACACUGGUUUUUGGGACUGCUGAGGGUGCUCAUCUUCCCAGAGGUAUUUCUCCCCUUUUAAAGCCUCCCGUGAAGCAUGGGGAAGCCAAGCACUCAGGAAAGAGGAAAUGCUCAGACCCUACAGACAUGCAUAAAUGAUGCAGCCUUAAUUACGUCACUAAUUACCACACACUACUUUUUCCCGCAGGCCAUGGCCUCACACGGCACACAGGAUGGGCCCCAAGCCCUGGGCAGGGAGGUGAGGCUGUGUGGUGACGGAGGCUGCUGCCGGCAGGGCCCCCCACUCAUCCGCUGCAGAAGCUGGGAGGUGUGUGGUAAAUGAAGCAGGGUUGUGGGAAGGGAAAGGGCAGGCUCAAGCCCUCGCCUGCUGUUCUGCAGGAUGGGGCUCUGGCCCCACUGCUGCUCCAGGCACAGCAGGUGAUGCUGGGGAGAUGGAGCCUCUCUCCCUGCUUCUCUGAGUGCUGCCUGUGGGUGCUGAGACACCUUCUCACACAUGAGCACUCUGGAUAAACGCCCUCUGAACAGCCUAGACUGGAUAUCCUAGAGGGACCAUGUGCCCCAGGGCAAUUGGAGUAAUCCCCCCUCUCUGCUGGCAGUGUCAAACAUCCAGCAGCGAUGGUCACCCUAGCACCAGGGGCUUCUCUGCCUGUCAGGUCUGACCUGCAUUGUGAGGAGGAAAUGAGUAUUGAACAAGCACCCUGCACAGUGCCUGGGAAGGGCAAGGACCUGCCCGGUCAGGAUAAUGAUAAAGGGCUUUUACAUCCCAGAAGAGCAUGUGGUUGGGAAUGGGGUCUCCAGGCCCCCAGGGUGCAGGGCAGAAUGGGCAGGUGGAAGUGCAGACAUCUCAUAUAGACUCAUCCAUCCUGUGUGGGAAGCCCUCACACAGCCCCUGAUUAACACACAUUUUGGGUUAAGAGUUCAGCAUAUAAAACCGAGCAGUGGGGCACAGUGACCAGCACAAGGUGAAAACCCACCAGCCAGAUUGGACUGCCAGCCCCAUGCUCUUUCCAGCCCAGCAGAAGCUGAUCUGUUCCAUCAUCACUUAGCUGCCAAAGAGAGAUCCAGACACACUUCUUGCUGUCUUGGCAAGAUUUUGGCAUAAUGCUGGAGAAAAAGCCACCUUCUGUUCUCCUCUUGCUACUCCCAGCCAAAACCACGGGGCUUUGUGCCACACCAGUGUGGUAACUGAUUCCUCUGCAAGCUCUGGGCCCCAAAGGAGAUGUGAGUGUGAAGGGAGAGGCUGGUGUAGCCUGAGAUGGCUCAGCCACAAGAUCAAAGCUCUCAGGGAGAAUGAGCUGCAGUGCUCAGUGCUGCUUAUCUGUGCUGUCAAUGAAGCCAUGCCUCUGUCCCUGACCCUGCUGGCUGGUUGGGUUGCUCUACAGCCUGAGGAUGUCCCUGCCUGCUCCAAGCUUCUGUGGGAAGCAGUGCCAGCCUUUGCUGCUCAGGCUCACAGCAGGCAGGAGAAACAGCUCUGCUGUCUCUCUGGUGAGCCACUCUGAUUAGCAGUCAUUAGAUGAGUAAUUACUUGAGUUUGCAGUGAGAAAAUGAAAAGCACAGACUUCAGUGUUUAGCCCCAUGGUCAUGAGUUAAAACUAAGUUUGGUGUCCUGAGCUAGCUGCCAGUUCAAGCUUUUAGGUCAUUUCUAGAAGCCUUCCUGGGGUUUCUCACCACCUCUCCAUAAUUCCACUGAUGAGAUGCUGCUUUCACCCACAAGUUAUGGGAGUGGUAGAGGCCAGACUCGCAGUGUCUGCCCUCAGAAUUUCCAUAUGGAUCUCAAGAGCUGUUCUGCAGGAGGCUCUCAAUGGUCUUGCCUGCAUGGUGAGCUGGCAUCAGCAGCUCCAGCCUCCAGCUGAGCACCCACCCCUCUGGGCUGGGUGGUCCCCAGGGAUUUGCUGCUUUGAAUCAUGAAUGUCCCUCCAUUCUCAAGGCUCAGCAGCAGCAAGGUUUGUAAUGUGGGGGUCCUGGGAGACUGCUGAGCCCCAUGACCUGCCCCAGCUGUUGCCAAAUUUCACAUCUCAGCACAUGCUCUUCCCAAGGAUUCUCUGAAUAACCCUGCAGAGCUGGAAGCACUGAGCCCCAGGCUCCUGCCAUGAUGGCUCAUGGGCAGAGCUGUGCCAUCCAGCAUCUCCACAAGGACACAUGAUUGUCCCUCUGAAAAGUGUUGGCUAUGUUUUGUAAGCUUCUGGCCCAGCUAAGGAUACUCAGCUUUUCUGAGAAAAACCAUGCAGGUGCCAUGAGAUGGGUAAGACAGCAGUGAUUUAGGGUGAGCUGUUCUGCAAAGUGUGAGGUGAUCAUGGCUGAGUGUGCAGUAUUUCAGCACAGUCAAUGCCUCCAGGCAGUGCAGGGACCACUGUGUCCCUCCAACAUCUGCAGGAGGUGAGGGGAGAGCAGUGCUUUUACCUCCCCUUGCUGGCAAAGCUAGCUCCAAAGUCUCAGUUUCAAGAAGGAUGUGAAAAUACCAAAGAGAGUUCAAAGGAGGGCCAGAAAAAUGACCCGGGGCUGAAAAAGGAGUUGUCAGCACUGGCCUCAAGGCGCUUGAGCUCUUCAGCUCACUGCAGGGAAGCACUGAAGACAGCUGCAGCUUUUCGCGUCAUCGCAAAUCCACUUGUGUGAGGGGCCAAAAUCAUGUUAUCUGCAAUAAAUUACCAAGAACUGGUGACACCAAGCACUUGGAUGAUGAAUUACACACACCUAGCAUGACUGAAACAAACCUGCUGCGGACAGACACUUUCCCCAGCUGGGCUGGUGCUCCAGGGCUGCUCCUUCCACUGGCAUGAGUGAACCCCAGCCAAAAUCAUGCCAGGGCUGUUGGGCUCCUGCAGCUACCAGCUCCUGUUCAAACAGGACCAGCUUGGGAAUAUAGUUGCUCUUGAAACCCAGCUUGGUUGCAACCAGGGUGGCUUUUUCACUGAUCAGUGACCUCUUCCUCAGCCCCUGACAGCAGCUGGAACCUGUUCCCAUGUGGCACACCGUGUGCAAGGAAGUUUCCCAGGCUGGCAGUGCCCAUACCCCUUGCAAAGACGUGCAGUGUGGUGCUGGACAUCCUGUCAGGGGCAGUCUCAGCAGUGUCCACGGAGAUAGGUUGCUCCAACCUGUGCAACUGCAGAAAGGAUUUGUCUUUUGGAGUCACAGAAGACUCUUGUUGUGAGGGCUAAGCCAGCAGUACAGCUGUAGCAGUAGAGGAAUCUGGUUUGUUAUUAGUCCCACAGGAACUGCGGGAUCUUUCUUGGUUUAAUUACUUUGCAGACUCAUCAAGCAGUACUGCAGGUGAAGAGCACCUGAAGGCAGAGCCUUCCUGUGCCUCCAGAGCUCUCCUGUCUGGGAUCCCUGAUUUGUGGGCAGGAGGGGUGCUUGUGUUGAGUGAGCUGAUGUGCAGAGCUCAGGGAGCCUCAUCUUCUCAGCUCCAUGGGACCAGUGAAGAUGUUCAGGCUUUCCACUAGAAAGGGAAAGCCCAGAGGGUCCUACUUGAUCUCUUGGCACAUUUUACUUCAUUGCAGAAGUUUUAGAGACUUCAGCUUUUGGAAAUGAGGUUGAUUAGGCAGACCCUGAGGCAGAACUAUUAGCCAGACCCUCCUGUCCACAGAGACAUCAGGAGAAGGACAGACAUUAUCCCCUCUCUCUCUCCUAGAGGCAGCAAAGCAGCUCUGUUGCCCACCUGAAUUUGUUCAGCUCUGUGCUGUCCACGUGUAAGAAAAUAUUUCCAUAACCAGAAAACCAGAGUAAAAGGUCCAUAGCCCUUCAGUCUCCUGGGGACUGUAACCAGCAAAGGCAGCUGAAUUUCAAACAAGUAGGCUGUGAGCCCGUGGUGCACAAUCUCCUCUGGCUGGGGCUGCCAAGGCAUGGUUUUAUGUUCCCAAGUCACCAGCAGCAUCAGCUGGCUGCUGCUCACCCUAUUGCACUUCUUAUUGCUUCUUCUCACUUCUGAAGCUUCCCAAGUUCUUCCCCUGUGCCUUACACUCCCUCGAGUUCCAGCAGCCUGUUAUGGAGGGCUCCAUUCCUGCACCCUCAUCUGCUUUUUUCCACAGUCCAAGCAACCUGUGUGGAGAUAAGGGCUGGCUGGUCUGAGCACCACAGGACAGAGGGCUUUGCUCCUUUAUCCCUUUUAUGAACCUGAUGGCUUGUUUUUGGCAAAAGCAUCUUACAGAAAAGUAGUGAUUGUGGUUGUGAAGACUUGGAGGGAUGGAGAAGCUGCCAUUUCCCAGGGAGCCUGUUCCAGCAGUUACAUAUCCGCACUGUUAACAAUCCCACUCCUUAUUUUUGUCUUGAAUUUGUCUGGCUUCAGCUUCCAACCAGUGGUUCUUGUUCUUUCUUUUUCCACUAGAUUAAAGAUGCUCAGCAUCCAAAGCUUUCUCCCCAUGGAGGUCCUUACAUCCUGUUCAAGCCAUAGCUGCUUGUUCCUCCAGCAAGGCUGGAUAAUGCUGCUUUUAACAUUAUCCCUGAGUUUUAUGUGCUUCUUAAGUGGGAGUUCAAGGUUUUCUCAGCCAAAGCCUUUGCAAGGUCCUGUGACAAGCAGAGUGGGGCAGAGCCUCAUCCCGAAGUGAACAACAUUUUCUGAAGUCAAAAUCAUCAAUUUCAGAUACUAAUGCUGCCCUCUUGAGCUCUCAUGCCCCCACCCUCAGGGACAUGAUCUGUUUGCUGUUUCGUGUGUGCCCCCUCCUUGUGUGGGUUCUGGAGAACUGAACAGUCUCCUACAUUUGCUGCUGUACUGUGGAGUCUGUGAGUGAGCAUGACAGGGGACACUCCAGAGACAUCUGUGAAUAGGGAUCAAGGCUCCUUCUAGCCCCAAACAAGGGGGCUUCAAGUGGACUGACCUGCCAGAGGCUGGUGGCACUCGCAGGGGAGGAGGAGGCAGCACACAGAGAUGCUGCAGCGAAGUGGCCCCUUGCCUCUUUGCUCUGUCCCUCCUGAGCAGGACAGACCUCUGCUUUGAUCCUGACACCUCCACCUGUGAAAGCAUAGCCAAUGCUGACCAAUCCCUUUUUUGCUGAGGCCACAUCCCAGCAGGUGCCCCAUCACCAGUCCUCUGAAUCUGCUGACAUCUCUGCCUGGGCAUCUGUUGCUUUCACUGUCCUGAUCCUCUUCCUUCCUUCUCUAAUGGCUGCAAACACUUCAUUUCACACCACUCUUCCCUGCGUUGUCUCGUGCCUUUACAUCUUCCUGCAACUUUCUCCUCAAGCAAGUGGUCUACAGCAAAAUUCCUACUGUGGGAGCAGCAGCCACAGGAAUUGCUGCCAGGCACCAGUGUCACUGAGGGGACAGCCUGCCCAGGAAACAGGAAAGUGAUACAACGAUCCUCAGAGCUAACCUGGAACUCCUGGAAGGAGAACGCCUCAAUCCUUGAGACAUGAUAGAAAGGACAAGGCGGUGGAGUGGAUGCCCUGCUCAAACCUGCUUCAGGCAGUUGUGCCAAGGCUCACUGGGAGAUUUCCACAGGGCACCAUUUCCACUCUGCCCUUCAGCAGACCAUGCUUUAGCUUGACAUCUCAUGGGAGAGCUUUUCCCCCAUGCACAUCUGAACUGCCCGGGAUUUCAUCCCUCCCAUCUGUGGCCAAAGCAAACGUCCUCUAACGACAGUUCCUGCCGAUCCUCGCCUCUCCCACGCCUUCCCUGUCUGCAGGCAUCACUCCCACCAGAGUCAGUGCUCUAGCCUGCAGGGCAGAUGGGGGUGCCAGACGCCUGCGCAGCACAUUUACAGUCAUCAGGAACAGCUUCCAUGUGCGUGUGCAAGCUCCAGUGAACCUGCUCCCUGUCCCCACCCUUUGUCACUCCCAGACCUGUGGCCGUGUCUCUGCCUGCACGGCGCACCCUGCAGCCCGGCCCGGCCACCUGGACAGUGACCCGGAGCCGAGGGUCCCCGAGGAGCGGGGGGAACAGCAGCCACAGUCCCGCCCUGGCAGCUCGGCCGGCUGCGGGUGCGACUCUGCUGGCUGUGCGGGUGUGCGGCUCCCCUGCUGCCCAGGGUGGGGUUGGUACGGGUGGGUGAGGGCCGGCCCCGCAGCGCUGCCCGGGGAGGGCCGCAGAGGGACCGGCUGGCACCUUCAGCUGCGAUUUGCAGCUCCUCCUGCCAAGGCAGCUCCGCUAACGAGAGCACCGGGGAGCGGGGACGUGCGGCAGGGAGCGGGACCGGGAGCCGCUCCUGGCACCUCACCCGAGGGCCCCUUGCCUCCCUGGACCUGGAAACUGGGGCGGCCCAACCCAUUCCCGAGAGCGGAGGUGCUCGGGACGGGUCAGACGGACCUAGCAGGAGCCCACGGUCCUCCCUCCUCCAGGGCAGACAGUAACGUUCUUUCCCAUCGAGUUCUCCUCAGUGCCUUUGGGCGAAGCCAAGGAGGUGAAAAAUCACCUGCAGCAUCCAAGCAUCUGAUCACAGCACCAUUGGGCACAGACCUUCGCACUGCUGUGAUGCUUUCUCAAGGACACCAUCAAUUCACAGGCAAUAUCAUAUUGUCUUCUACCACCACAGCUGAGCAGGCAGCCCCUGCUGUCGACUCACCCUUGAUCCCUCCAGGACUUUCUCAUCCUGCAAAUGAAUCUUAUGUGCAGAAAAGAACUUUUAGUGUCUACCAAACUCAGUUUCUCACCGCCCAUACUCGUUAGAGGAAGGUCCGUGAGGAGCCACAGGAAAUGGAAGUCUGGUUUUCAGUUUUGGCUUUUCCACAGGGUUUGUGUUCCUCACACCCUGCCUAGAAAUAUGCCCAAGUUUUUUCUCUGCAUAGAUGUAACCUUACAGCAUUGUACAUUAAAGGAGCAGGAAUCAAUACCAAGGAUGGAUAAAAAAGAGUUGAGUACCACGAUACCACAUGGAAGAGCACUGAAAAACGUCUUUAGCAUUCUGUAAGAAUCUGAAGAGAAAUCUCAUGCCUGCCUGGGGUGAAAUAAAUGUAUUGCUUCCCUC
This is a non-coding RNA of Cyanistes caeruleus (blue tit), 7360 nucleotides long. The record is from RefSeq and is a predicted model, not a curated record. Lineage: Eukaryota; Metazoa; Chordata; Aves; Passeriformes; Paridae.